UACGGAGGCAGCAGUGGGGAAUAUUGCACAAUGGGCGAAAGCCUGAUGCAGCGACGCCGCGUGAGGGAUGACGGCCUUCGGGUUGUAAACCUCUUUCAGCAGGGACGAAGCGCAAGUGACGGUACCUGCAGAAGAAGCACCGGCUAACUACGUGCCAGCAGCCGCGGUAAUACGUAGGGUGCGAGCGUUGUCCGGAAUUAUUGGGCGUAAAGAGCUCGUAGGCGGUUUGUCGCGUCGGCCGUGAAAACUUGGGGCUUAACCCCGAGCCUGCGGUCGAUACGGGCAGACUUGAGUUCGGCAGGGGAGACUGGAAUUCCUGGUGUAGCGGUGAAAUGCGCAGAUAUCAGGAGGAACACCGGUGGCGAAGGCGGGUCUCUGGGCCGAUACUGACGCUGAGGAGCGAAAGCGUGGGGAGCGAACAGGAUUAGAUACCCUGGUAGUCCACGCCGUAAACGGUGGGUGCUAGGUGUGGGGGACUUCCACGUCCUCCGUGCCGCAGCUAACGCAUUAAGCACCCCGCCUGGGGAGUACGGCCGCAAGGCUAAAACUCAAAGGAAUUGAC
Molecule: ribosomal RNA, 562 nt
Filed under: bacterium 392
Lineage: Bacteria
Description: bacterial SSU rRNA
Rfam family: Bacterial small subunit ribosomal RNA
Source: RNAcentral